GACUUCAUAGGAUAACCAGAACAUCCCCUGGCCUUAGGAGCCAACAAUCUUGGCGCAACUCCAAGUGAAAUCACCA
RNAcentral lists this transfer RNA (76 nucleotides) under Paleosuchus trigonatus (Schneider's dwarf caiman). RNAcentral describes it as "tRNA-Leu". The record is from RNAcentral. Lineage: Eukaryota; Metazoa; Chordata; Crocodylia; Alligatoridae.